RNAcentral lists this ribosomal RNA (1568 nucleotides) under Limosilactobacillus reuteri subsp. rodentium. RNAcentral's name for it is "Lactobacillus reuteri 100-23 16S ribosomal RNA". It matches the Rfam family "Bacterial small subunit ribosomal RNA". Lineage: Bacteria; Bacillati; Bacillota; Bacilli; Lactobacillales; Lactobacillaceae. The record is from RNAcentral.
AGAGUUUGAUCCUGGCUCAGGAUGAACGCCGGCGGUGUGCCUAAUACAUGCAAGUCGUACGCACUGGCCCAACUGAUUGAUGGUGCUUGCACCUGAUUGACGUUGGAUCACCAGUGAGUGGCGGACGGGUGAGUAACACGUAGGUAACCUGCCCCGGAGCGGGGGAUAACAUUUGGAAACAGAUGCUAAUACCGCAUAACAACAAAAGCCACAUGGCUUUUGUUUGAAAGAUGGCUUUGGCUAUCACUCUGGGAUGGACCUGCGGUGCAUUAGCUAGUUGGUAAGGUAACGGCUUACCAAGGCGAUGAUGCAUAGCCGAGUUGAGAGACUGAUCGGCCACAAUGGAACUGAGACACGGUCCAUACUCCUACGGGAGGCAGCAGUAGGGAAUCUUCCACAAUGGGCGCAAGCCUGAUGGAGCAACACCGCGUGAGUGAAGAAGGGUUUCGGCUCGUAAAGCUCUGUUGUUGGAGAAGAACGUGCGUGAGAGUAACUGUUCACGCAGUGACGGUAUCCAACCAGAAAGUCACGGCUAACUACGUGCCAGCAGCCGCGGUAAUACGUAGGUGGCAAGCGUUAUCCGGAUUUAUUGGGCGUAAAGCGAGCGCAGGCGGUUGCUUAGGUCUGAUGUGAAAGCCUUCGGCUUAACCGAAGAAGUGCAUCGGAAACCGGGCGACUUGAGUGCAGAAGAGGACAGUGGAACUCCAUGUGUAGCGGUGGAAUGCGUAGAUAUAUGGAAGAACACCAGUGGCGAAGGCGGCUGUCUGGUCUGCAACUGACGCUGAGGCUCGAAAGCAUGGGUAGCGAACAGGAUUAGAUACCCUGGUAGUCCAUGCCGUAAACGAUGAGUGCUAGGUGUUGGAGGGUUUCCGCCCUUCAGUGCCGGAGCUAACGCAUUAAGCACUCCGCCUGGGGAGUACGACCGCAAGGUUGAAACUCAAAGGAAUUGACGGGGGCCCGCACAAGCGGUGGAGCAUGUGGUUUAAUUCGAAGCUACGCGAAGAACCUUACCAGGUCUUGACAUCUUGCGCUAACCUUAGAGAUAAGGCGUUCCCUUCGGGGACGCAAUGACAGGUGGUGCAUGGUCGUCGUCAGCUCGUGUCGUGAGAUGUUGGGUUAAGUCCCGCAACGAGCGCAACCCUUGUUACUAGUUGCCAGCAUUAAGUUGGGCACUCUAGUGAGACUGCCGGUGACAAACCGGAGGAAGGUGGGGACGACGUCAGAUCAUCAUGCCCCUUAUGACCUGGGCUACACACGUGCUACAAUGGACGGUACAACGAGUCGCAGCUCGCGAGAGUAAGCUAAUCUCUUAAAGCCGUUCUCAGUUCGGACUGUAGGCUGCAACUCGCCUACACGAAGUCGGAAUCGCUAGUAAUCGCGGAUCAGCAUGCCGCGGUGAAUACGUUCCCGGGCCUUGUACACACCGCCCGUCACACCAUGGGAGUUUGUAACGCCCAAAGUCGGUGGCCUAACCUUUAUGGAGGGAGCCGCCUAAGGCGGGACAGAUGACUGGGGUGAAGUCGUAACAAGGUAGCCGUAGGAGAACCUGCGGCUGGAUCACCUCCUUU